GUGAUGGCCUAUCCAUCUUCAUUUUAAGUUGAUAUCCCUAGUAUUUUACAAUUGAAACUGAAAGAUGCCAUGGAAUUCGAUGCAGAUACACUGGUCGAUACGAGGCAUUUUUGUGGGAUAACACUGAUCCAACACAAAAACCAAAGACUGUUUAUAUAGGUGGAUAUGAUGAUGAAGUAUCAGCAGCAAGGGCUUAUGAUUUAGCUGCUCUGAAACUAUGGGGAGAAUUUGCUCCG
Long non-coding RNA from Hibiscus syriacus, 236 nucleotides. RefSeq lists it as uncharacterized. The transcript is spliced from 3 exons. Lineage: Eukaryota; Viridiplantae; Streptophyta; Magnoliopsida; Malvales; Malvaceae. The record is from RefSeq and is a predicted model, not a curated record.